This 437-nucleotide ribosomal RNA is filed under the name uncultured bacterium. RNAcentral describes it as "bacterial SSU rRNA". It matches the Rfam family "Bacterial small subunit ribosomal RNA", at positions 28 to 457 of the family's 1533-position model. The record is from RNAcentral.
GAUGAACGCUGGCGGCGUGCUUAACACAUGCAAGUCGAACGAAGAUGCCGGAGUGCUUGCACUUUGGCAGACUGAGUGGCGGACGGGUGAGUAACGCGUGGGUAACCUGCCUUAUACAGGGGGAUAACAGUUGGAAACGACUGCUAAUACCGCAUAAGCGCACGGUAUCGCAUGAUACAGUGUGAAAAACUCCGGUGGUAUAAGAUGGACCCGCGUCUGAUUAGCUUGUUGGUGAGGUAACGGCCCACCAAGGCGACGAUCAGUAGCCGGCCUGAGAGGGUGAACGGCCACAUUGGGACUGAGACACGGCCCAAACUCCUACGGGAGGCAGCAGUGGGGAAUAUUGCACAAUGGGGGAAACCCUGAUGCAGCGACGCCGCGUGAGUGAUGAAGUAUUUCGGUAUGUAAAACUCUAUCAGCAGGGAAGAUAAUGACGG